UACGUAGGGUGCAAGCGUUAAUCGGAAUUACUGGGCGUAAAGCGUGCGCAGGCGGUUGUGCAAGACAGAUGUGAAAUCCCCGGGCUCAACCCUGGGAACUGCAUUUGUGACUGCACGGCUGGAGUGCGGCAGAGGGGGGUGGAAUUCCGCGUGUAGCAGUGAAAUGCGUAGAGAUGCGGAGGAACACCGAUGGCGAAGGCAGCCCCCCUGGGCUAGCACUGACGCUCAGGCACGAAAGCGUGGGGAGCAAACAGG
RNAcentral lists this ribosomal RNA (255 nucleotides) under uncultured bacterium. Its description in RNAcentral is "partial 16S ribosomal RNA". It matches the Rfam family "Bacterial small subunit ribosomal RNA", at positions 524 to 776 of the family's 1533-position model. The record is from RNAcentral.